Molecule: ribosomal RNA, 1450 nt
Filed under: uncultured bacterium
Lineage: Bacteria
Description: bacterial SSU rRNA
Rfam family: Bacterial small subunit ribosomal RNA
Source: RNAcentral
AGAGUUUGAUCAUGGCUCAGGAUGAACGCUGGCGGCGUGCUUAACACAUGCAAGUCGAACGAACCUUCGGGUUAGUGGCGGACGGGUGAGUAACGCGUGGGAAUCUGCCCUCAGGAGGGGGAUAACGGUUGGAAACGGCCGCUAAUACCCCAUAUGCCGAGAGGUGAAAUGAAUUUCGCCUGAGGAUGAGCCCGCGUCUGAUUAGCUAGUUGGUGAGGUAAGAGCUCACCAAGGCAUCGAUCAGUAGCUGGUCUGAGAGGAUGAUCAGCCACACUGGGACUGAGACACGGCCCAGACUCCUACGGGAGGCAGCAGUGGGGAAUUUUCCGCAAUGGGCGAAAGCCUGACGGAGCAACGCCGCGUGAGGGAUGAAGGCCUCUGGGCUGUAAACCUCUUUUAUCAAGGAAGAAGAUCUGACGGUACUUGAUGAAUAAGCCACGGCUAAUUCCGUGCCAGCAGCCGCGGUAAUACGGGAGUGGCAAGCGUUAUCCGGAAUUAUUGGGCGUAAAGCGUCCGCAGGCGGCCCUACAAGUCUGCUGUUAAAAAGUGGAGCUUAACUCCAUCAUGGCAGUGGAAACUGUUGGGCUUGAGUGUGGUAGGGGCAGAGGGAAUUCCCGGUGUAGCGGUGAAAUGCGUAGAUAUCGGGAAGAACACCAGUGGCGGAAGGCGCUCUGCUGGGCCAUCACUGACGCUCAUGGACGAAAGCCAGGGGAGCGAAAGGGAUUAGAUACCCCUGUAGUCCUGGCCGUAAACGAUGAACACUAGGUGUCGGGGGAAUCGACCCCUCCGGUGUCGUAGCCAACGCGUUAAGUGUUCCGCCUGGGGAGUACGCACGCAAGUGUGAAACUCAAAGGAAUUGACGGGGGCCCGCACAAGCGGUGGAGUAUGUGGUUUAAUUCGAUGCAACGCGAAGAACCUUACCAGGGUUUGACAUCCUGCGAAUCUCUUGGAAACUUGAGAGUGCCUUCGGGAGCGCAGUGACAGGUGGUGCAUGGCUGUCGUCAGCUCGUGUCGUGAGAUGUUGGGUUAAGUCCCGCAACGAGCGCAACCCACGUCUUUAGUUGCCAGCAUUUAGUUGGGCACUCUAGAGAGACCGCCGGUGAUAAACCGGAGGAAGGUGUGGAUGACGUCAAGUCAUCAUGCCCCUUACAUCCUGGGCUACACACGUACUACAAUGCUACGGACAAAGGGCAGCAAGUUCGCGAGGACAAGCAAAUCCCAUAAACCGUAGCUCAGUUCAGAUCGUAGGCUGCAACUCGCCUACGUGAAGGAGGAAUCGCUAGUAAUCGCAGGUCAGCAUACUGCGGUGAAUACGUUCCCGGGCCUUGUACACACCGCCCGUCACACCAUGGAAGUUGGCCACGCCCGAAGCCGUUACUCCAACCCUUGUGGAGGAGGACGUCGAAGGUGGGGCUGAUGACUGGGGUGAAGUCGUAACAAGGUAACCGUA